RNAcentral lists this ribosomal RNA (483 nucleotides) under uncultured bacterium. RNAcentral's name for it is "partial 16S ribosomal RNA". It matches the Rfam family "Bacterial small subunit ribosomal RNA", at positions 28 to 507 of the family's 1533-position model. The record is from RNAcentral.
GACGAACGCUGGCGGCGUGCUUAACACAUGCAAGUCGAACGCUGAAGCUCAGCUUUUGUUGGGUGGAUGAGUGGCGAACGGGUGAGUAACACGUGAGUAACCUGCCCCCUUCUUUGGGAUAACGCCCGGAAACGGGUGCUAAUACUGGAUAUUCACUGGUCUUCGCAUGGGGGUUGGUGGAAAGGGUUUUUCUGGUGGGGGAUGUGCUCGCGGCCUAUCAGCUUGUUGGUGGGGUGAUGGCCUACCAAGGCUUUGACGGGUAGACGGCCUGAGAGGGUGACCGGUCACAUAGGGACGGAGAUACGGCCUAGACUCCUAAGGGGGGCAGCAGUGGCGAAAAUUGGACAAUGGGCGCAAGACUGAUGCAGCGACGCCGCGUGAGGGAUGGGGGCCUUCGGGUUGUGAACCUCUGUCGGUCAUGGUCAGGCCGCAACAAUGGUUGUGGUGAGGGUAGUGGGUAAAGAAGCGCCGGCUAACUACGUG